AGUGCGGUCGCAAGAUUAAAACUCAAAGGAAUAGACGGGGACCCGCACAAGUGGUGGAGCAUGUGGUUUAAUUCGAAGAUACGCGAAGAACCUUACCUAGCCUUGACAUAUAUUAGAACACUUUAGAGAUAGAGUGGUGCCUUCGGGAGCUUUUAUACAGGUGCUGCACGGCUGUCGUCAGCUCGUGUCGUGAGAUGUUGGGUUAAGUCCCGCAACGAGCGCAACCCUCGUCACUAGUUACUAACGGUUCGGCCGAGGACUCUAGUGAGACUGCCUUCGUAAGGAGGAGGAAGGUGAGGACGACGUCAAGUCAUCAUGGCCCUUACGGCUAGGGCAACACACGUGCUACAAUGGCCAGGACAAUGAGAAGCGAUACCGCGAGGUGGAGCAAAUCUAUAAACCUGGUCUCAGUUCGGAUUGUAGUCUGCAACUCGACUACAUGAAGCUGGAAUCACUAGUAAUCGUAGAUCAGCUAUGCUACGGUGAAUACGUUCCCGGGUCUUGCACACACCGCCC
This 516-nucleotide ribosomal RNA is filed under the name uncultured Sulfurovum sp. Its description in RNAcentral is "bacterial SSU rRNA". It matches the Rfam family "Bacterial small subunit ribosomal RNA", at positions 879 to 1395 of the family's 1533-position model. The record is from RNAcentral. Lineage: Bacteria; Pseudomonadati; Campylobacterota; Epsilonproteobacteria; Campylobacterales; Sulfurovaceae.